Ictidomys tridecemlineatus (thirteen-lined ground squirrel) is the source of this 709-nucleotide long non-coding RNA. RefSeq lists it as uncharacterized. The record is from RefSeq and is a predicted model, not a curated record. Lineage: Eukaryota; Metazoa; Chordata; Mammalia; Rodentia; Sciuridae.
AUAGGAGAGAAAUGAUGCCUCACCAGAGUUAUACGUGGUAAAGAUUAAUAAAAAGGAGAAAACAAGAGUAACCAGGUUAAUUUUUUAGUCCUUCCUGGAACUGACCCAGCCCAAUGGUUAAUCUUUUUGACCCCUUUAGGAAUUCUUGGACCCCAUCCCAGGUGUAUGCAACACAACCUGAGAAUCCAGAGCAGUCCAGAGCAGAGCUAGGGAGGACCUUGGAGGUCACCCUGACCAAGACUGAUCCUGUUUCAGAGGCAAAAUGGAGACCAGGAAAGAACAAACAGAGUGACUGAGUCCUGGGGAUUGAACCAAGGUGUGCUCUACCACUGAGCCACAAAUGAAUUUCAAGUAGAAGAAAUAGCUUGCCCUGUUCUUGGACUCAAAUGUUAUUUGAGUUGGGAGUUUGGGACUGAAUCUUCCUGAGACAGCAGAUAUUUUCCUUUGCAAAAUUCCAGCUCAGUGACUCGAUGGAGAAAAGACAAUCUAUACUUUAAAAUGUAAAUGUUGUACCAUUUACAGCAUUCCACAACAUCUAAAAAUCUUCUGGCCCAUUGGGAGACAAGUGAUGUUCUUCUCUCAGUUCCAGACAGCUGGGAGGCCCAGAUUUGACCAACUGCUGAUUCCACCCCUUUAUACAGAGAAUUGUUGAUUGAGUCAUCUACAUUCAGGAUGAAAUAUUGUUUCUAAUAAAUAUGAGGUUAAUUUA